RNAcentral lists this ribosomal RNA (404 nucleotides) under Fusobacteriota bacterium. RNAcentral describes it as "Fusobacteria bacterium partial 16S ribosomal RNA". It matches the Rfam family "Bacterial small subunit ribosomal RNA", at positions 355 to 776 of the family's 1533-position model. The record is from RNAcentral. Lineage: Bacteria; Fusobacteriati; Fusobacteriota.
UGGGGAAUAUUGCACAAUGGAGGGAACUCUGAUGCAGCGACGCCGCGUGAGUGAUGAAGGACUUCGUUUCGUAAAACUCUGUUCUAUGGGAAGAAAAGGACUGUACCAUAGGAGAAAGCUCCGGCUAAAUACGUGCCAGCAGCCGCGGUAAUACGUAUGGAGCGAGCGUUGUCCGGAAUUAUUGGGCGUAAAGGGUGCGCAGGCGGCUUUACAAGUUGGAUGGGAAAUAUUGUGGCUCAACCACAAACGUGCAUCCAAAACUGCAAAGCUUGAGUUAAGGAGAGGUAAGUGGAAUUCCUGGUGUAGCGGUGGAAUGCGUAGAUAUCAGGAGGAAUACCGGUGGCGAAGGCGACUUACUGGACUUAAACUGACGCUCAGGCACGAAAGCGUGGGGAGCAAACAGG